AGGCUAAAAAAGGAGAUGGGGUAAGACGCGAUAUAAAGGCAAUUUUGAGUCAGCUGCUGUCCAUCCAAAGUAUAAAGAACACUGUGCAAGCCAAUGGCAACGAACUCCACCUGCGCUUUGCUGCUGAUGGAAGAUGCACCAGCAAUAAAAUUGGCACUGUUAUGGCUGUGUUUAAUAUUCUCAAUGAACAAGGGCAUGACUAUGACCACCAGUACCCCAUCGCUCUGUAUAAUGGAAAGGAGGAUUAUUUAGAGGUGAAAAAUUGUCUUGGGCCUGUGUUUGCACAAGUUGAUGACCUUCAACAAAAUGGUAUUGAGGUGGACGGAAUACACUACAAAGUGAUAUGGUACUGCUGCUCAGACUGGAAAUUU
Pocillopora damicornis (cauliflower coral) is the source of this 371-nucleotide long non-coding RNA. Lineage: Eukaryota; Metazoa; Cnidaria; Anthozoa; Scleractinia; Pocilloporidae. The record is from RefSeq and is a predicted model, not a curated record.